GAAAUGCGAUAAGUAGUGUGAAUUGCAGAAUUCAGUGAAUCAUCGAAUCUUUGAACGCACAUUGCGCCCCUUGGUAUUCCAUGGGGCAUGCCUGUUCGAGCGUCAUUUGUACCCUCAAGCUUUGCUUGGUGUUGGGCGUUUUGUCUCCCCCUGGGAGACUCGCCUUAAAACAAUUGGCAGCCGGCAUAUUGGUAUCGGAGCGCAGCACAAGUCGCGCUUCUUUCCAUGAAUGUCAGCGUCCAUCAAGACUAUUUUCACUCUUGACCUCGGAUCAGGUAGGGAUACCCGCUGAGUUUAA
This 298-nucleotide unclassified non-coding RNA is filed under the name uncultured Pleosporales. RNAcentral's name for it is "sequence contains ITS1". The stretch from base 1 to 105 matches the Rfam family "5.8S ribosomal RNA", at positions 50 to 154 of the family's 154-position model. The record is from RNAcentral. Lineage: Eukaryota; Fungi; Ascomycota; Dothideomycetes; Pleosporales.